RNAcentral lists this non-coding RNA (26 nucleotides) under Arabidopsis thaliana (thale cress). The record is from RNAcentral. Lineage: Eukaryota; Viridiplantae; Streptophyta; Magnoliopsida; Brassicales; Brassicaceae.
GGGGAUGUAGCUCAUAUGGUAGAGCC